Molecule: transfer RNA, 75 nt
Filed under: Fusobacterium naviforme
Lineage: Bacteria; Fusobacteriati; Fusobacteriota; Fusobacteriia; Fusobacteriales; Fusobacteriaceae
Description: tRNA-Gln
Rfam family: tRNA
About the family: Transfer RNA (tRNA) molecules are approximately 80 nucleotides in length.
Source: RNAcentral
UGGGCUGUCGCCAAGCGGUAAGGCAAAGGACUUUGACUCCUUCAUUCGACGGUUCGAAUCCGGCCAGCCCAGCGA